This 1252-nucleotide unclassified non-coding RNA is filed under the name Hevea brasiliensis (rubber tree). The record is from RNAcentral. Lineage: Eukaryota; Viridiplantae; Streptophyta; Magnoliopsida; Malpighiales; Euphorbiaceae.
UGAGGCUGAACCUGAUUUAUAAGUUAUUCCUGUAGAUGAAAGACCAAAGUACCUAAAAAUAACAGCAUGCAACAGUUUAGCCCAAUAUGCUCCAGUCAAACACUUAUCAGUUCUUGAAGAAUAAACCUACUUCUCACGGUUUGCAGCAGCUUUAUUUCUGGUUUCUUGUAUUUUUUCCUUAUCAUUCAAGAGAGCCACAAUAUUUUCUGCCUUCUUCCUCACAUUAAGUCCCAAAUCCUUUCCACUUGGCUCAACGUAUUCAAAACUUGUAAGUGACUUUGCCAACAAAAAAUAAAUAGGGGAAAAUGGAAUGUCAGAGAAAAUUCACAUUCACUCUGAAUGCUGUGAAAAUGAGCAUAGGCAACCGUAGCUGAGUAUAAGACAGUAUUACUCACUGAUAUCUGGAAUGUAUGUUCUAUUAUGUCAUCAACAGCACGCUCAGAACCAUGAGCCACCAAAUACUCUAUAACAGAUAACGCCUGAGAGCAAAGUUUCACAUAUUUUGAAUAGAGGCAUGAAAAAUUGCAACAACAACAAGGCAACACAGUUUGGAAGUACAUAUGAAAUGAAACAUCUACUUGUCAGAUCAUAACUUCUGAACAAGAAAAUCUAAAAAUACGAAAAGAUUUACCUUGUAGACAAGACGCCAGUCCUUGCCUGUUUCACCUAAUCUUGUCCACAGAACAUUCAUAACCAUCUGACAUUCGGUGCUAAAAGAAAUUGCAACAAAAUAGACAUCCACAAAAAAUAUAAAGCUAUCUUUCUUUCACAAAAACAUUAGCAUAAAAAAGAUUCCAGAUAUGAAACAAAAAUGGGUGGGGGGAACGCAAGUCAAAGCUUACAAUUUCUUAGUGGCCUGUGCAAUUUCUGCCAAUGCAGUGCCAUGAGGACCCCAAGGCGCAUCAUCAGUUGCAUCCAACACCUUCUGUUCGAUCUCGGGAACCUUCAGGACCUUGAGAUUAACCUCUCUCUUUAUUUCGCGGACUGUCUGGUCGAAUACCUUCAUGAAAUCCAUGAUUGGAUCUGCGGAAUCAAAAUUUGAAAACGAAAUGAAAUAUUCGAUCGAAAUGAGCGGUAAUAUUAUGCAGAUCUGCAAGAUUAAGGAUUGAUUAAUGUAGGGUUUGUUGAAGAAGGAAGGGUAGUGGAGGUAGGAGAAGAGGAACCUUCGAGUGGAGAUGUUAAAAAGCUAAGAAUUACAGAUCUUUGGGAGGUGUUCGUUGCAGGAUGGAAAGGAAAGAUACGUAAUCAUGAU